AACUUAAACUUAAACUUGUACUUGUCCUCAACUGUCAAUUUCGAAGGUCGCAGAAAUAGAGAAAUCCCGAAUAAACUAUAUCCUUCACCUAUACCAAAUCCUGGUUAUCGACAGGUUAGUCCGACACCGUCGCCCAUGAUAGAAUAAGGAAAAAGCUAGAAGAAUCAAAACCGGGAAACAUUUUUGAAGGUGCGGUAUUGAAUCAGAGUCUUUAGUUAGGAUUUUGAAUUUAUGAAUUCUCGUAUCUUAAGAAUGUGAGCUUAUUGAAUUCUUAAGAAAUUAUUUAUAUAUAAAAUAUAAAGAUUGAACAAAA
Long non-coding RNA from Solanum stenotomum, 313 nucleotides. RefSeq lists it as uncharacterized. NCBI's taxonomy places the organism in Eukaryota, Viridiplantae, Streptophyta, Magnoliopsida, Solanales, Solanaceae. The record is from RefSeq and is a predicted model, not a curated record. The transcript is spliced from 2 exons.